UGGGGAAUAUUGGACAAUGGGCGCAAGCCUGAUCCAGCCAUACCGCGUGGGUGAAGAAGGCCUUGGUUGUAAAGCCUUUGUUGGGAAAGAAAUCCAGCUGGCUAAUACCCGGUUGGGAUGACGGUACCCAAAGAAUAAGCACCGGCUAACUUCGUGCCAC
This 160-nucleotide ribosomal RNA is filed under the name uncultured bacterium. Its description in RNAcentral is "partial 16S rRNA". It matches the Rfam family "Bacterial small subunit ribosomal RNA", at positions 355 to 511 of the family's 1533-position model. The record is from RNAcentral.